RNAcentral lists this ribosomal RNA (800 nucleotides) under uncultured archaeon. Its description in RNAcentral is "bacterial SSU rRNA". It matches the Rfam family "Archaeal small subunit ribosomal RNA", at positions 80 to 881 of the family's 1478-position model. The record is from RNAcentral.
GGCGUACUGCGUCAGUAACACGUGGAUAACCUGCCCUUAGGACUGGCAUAACCCCGGGAAACUGGGGAUAAUUCCGGAUAGUUCAUGGUAGUUGGAAUGCUCCAUGAUCGAAAGCUAUUGCGCCUAAGGAUGGGUCUGCGGUCUAUCAGGUAGUAGUGGGUGUAAUGUACCUACUAGCCGACGACGGAUACGGGUUGUGGGAGCAAGAGCCCGGAGAUGGAUUCUGAGACAUGAAUCCAGGCCCUACGGGGCGCAGCAGGCGCGAAAACUUUACAAUGCGGGAAACCGCGAUAAGGGGACACCGAGUGCCAGCAUCUUAUGUUGGCUGUCCGCAUGUAUAAAUCACAUGUGUUAGCAAGGGCCGGGCAAGACCGGUGCCAGCCGCCGCGGUAACACCGGCGGCCCGAGUGGUGGCCACUAUUAUUGGGUCUAAAGGGUCCGUAGCCGGUUUGGUCAGUCUUCCGGGAAAUCUGACGGCUUAACCGUUAGGCUUUCGGGGGAUACUACCAGGCUUGGGACCGGGAGAGGUAAGAGGUACUACGGGGGUAGGAGUGAAAUCUUGUAAUCCUCGUGGGACCACCGGUGGCGAAGGCGUCUUACCAGAACGGGUCCGACGGUGAGGGACGAAAGCUGGGGGCACGAACCGGAUUAGAUACCCGGGUAGUCCCAGCCGUAAACUAUGCUCGCUAGGUGUCAGGCACGGUGCGACCGUUUCUGGUGCCGCAGGGAAGCCGUGAAGCGAGCCACCUGGGAAGUACGGUCGCAAGGCUGAAACUUAAAGGAAUUGGCGGGAAUCACUA